UACGUAGGGUGCAAGCGUUGCCCGGAUUUAUUGGGCGUAAAGGGCGCGUAGGCGGCUCUGCACGUUCGUUGUGAAAUCGCCCGGCUCAACUGGGCGGGGUCAGCGGAUACGGCAGAGCUUGAGCAAGCUAGGGGGCAAUGGAAUUCCCGGUGUAGUGGUGGAAUGCGUAGAUAUCGGGAGGAACACCAGUGGCGAAGGCGACUACCUGGCCUGUUCUUGACGCUGAGGCGCGAAAGCUAGGGGAGCAAACGGG
Molecule: ribosomal RNA, 253 nt
Filed under: uncultured bacterium
Lineage: Bacteria
Description: partial 16S ribosomal RNA
Rfam family: Bacterial small subunit ribosomal RNA
Source: RNAcentral